AUACUUACCUGGUAGGGGAGAUACCGUGAUCAAGAAGCUGGUUCACCCAGAGCGAGGCUCAAACGUUGCUGUGCUCCUCCGUAUGGGUCCGAGUCUGUACGAAGAGCAACUUUAUCUACAGAAUCUACGACUCAACGUGGCAUUUUUGGGAUUUGAUCCCCUCUCGUG
RNAcentral lists this small nuclear RNA (168 nucleotides) under Dicentrarchus labrax (European seabass). RNAcentral describes it as "U1 spliceosomal RNA (ENSDLAG00005004091.2)". Lineage: Eukaryota; Metazoa; Chordata; Actinopteri; Moronidae. The record is from RNAcentral.